UACGUAGGGGGCUAGCGUUGUCCGGAAUCAUUGGGCGUAAAGAGCGUGUAGGCGGCCCGGUAAGUCCGCUGUGAAAGUCGGGGGCUCAACCCUCGAAUGCCGGUGGAUACUGUCGGGCUAGAGUGCGGAAGAGGCGAGUGGAAUUCCUGGCGUAGCGGUGAAAUGCGCAGAUAUCAGGAGGAACACCUAUUGCGAAGGCAGCUCGCUGGGACGUAACUGACGCUGAGACGCGAAAGCGUGGGGAGCAAACAGG
This 253-nucleotide ribosomal RNA is filed under the name uncultured bacterium. RNAcentral describes it as "partial 16S ribosomal RNA". It matches the Rfam family "Bacterial small subunit ribosomal RNA", at positions 524 to 776 of the family's 1533-position model. The record is from RNAcentral.